RNAcentral lists this ribosomal RNA (465 nucleotides) under Vreelandella stevensii. RNAcentral's name for it is "partial 16S ribosomal RNA". It matches the Rfam family "Bacterial small subunit ribosomal RNA", at positions 338 to 795 of the family's 1533-position model. The record is from RNAcentral. Lineage: Bacteria; Pseudomonadati; Pseudomonadota; Gammaproteobacteria; Oceanospirillales; Halomonadaceae.
CCUACGGGGGGCUGCAGUGGGGAAUAUUGGACAAUGGGGGGAACCCUGAUCCAGCCAUGCCGCGUGUGUGAAGAAGGCCCUCGGGUUGUAAAGCACUUUCAGUGAGGAAGAACGCCUGGUGGUUAAUACCCAUCAGGAAAGACAUCACUCACAGAAGAAGCACCGGCUAACUCCGUGCCAGCAGCCGCGGUAAUACGGAGGGUGCGAGCGUUAAUCGGAAUUACUGGGCGUAAAGCGCGCGUAGGUGGCUUGAUAAGCCGGUUGUGAAAGCCCCGGGCUCAACCUGGGAACGGCAUCCGGAACUGUCAAGCUAGAGUGCAGGAGAGGAAGGUAGAAUUCCCGAUGUAGCGGUGAAAUGCGUAGAGAUCGGGAGGAAUACCAGUGGCGAAGGCGGCCUUCUGGACUGACACUGACACUGAGGUGCGAAAGCGUGGGUAGCAAACAGGAUUAGAUACCCCAGUAGUC